AGCUGGAGUAGCGUCUUGGGAAAAGGCCAACUGACCACCCUAAUUUUGUCGUUCCAAGUCUGCAGAGCGCACAUAUUAAGUAGUUGUUACUGACAUCUUUAGGCUCCGUGAGUGAAAUGCAGCAAGCCUGCCCCCAGCAGCCUGUGGGCUAAUCCUGAGCUGUUCCUUCGUUUAGGUACACAGGUGACCCUGAAGUUCCCACUCGGCCCUCUGUUUUCUGAGUCCUGUCUCCUCUGUAGCACAGUGGGGAUUGUUCUGAACCGUGGCACGCCUUCUUGGCGAGGCAGGCUCUCUUAUGGAACCAUAGUCUGUUACCUCAUUUCUUCCAACUGCUCUGUCCCCUAAAUGUGUGUUCCCAGGUGCAGUGCAGCAAGGGUGCUCGCUGUUGGCCUUUGAGAGUGGAGGUGGCUGUAUCGGAGUGUGCUCCCCCUACUUUUUCCCUUGCCCCGAGUGGCAGUUCUUUUCCUCUCUGUUGCCGGAUGCUGUCUAGGGCCUGUUAGUUGCUAUUUCCUUGCCUCCGCUCCCCUUCCCACUAGCCUUCUAACUACCUUUUAUUCUCGGCUCCAACUCUUUCAAUGAUGAGGUGAAUGCUUUUUCUGUUCCACGUCACUGCAAAGUCAAGGUGUCCAGCAUGCUCUCACUUAUAACUGCCUCACCCGAUCUCACGCACAGUGCGAGAGCUGAAGGUAAGCCCCGGAUGUUGCCAGAUUACGGUGGACAAAUAAAAAACAACUCUCCAACAGCAACUCACAAAUGCAUGAAAUGUUUUAACCUCUAGACAGACUGCCAGAAUUUCUCUCUUCUAAUUCCUA
This 812-nucleotide long non-coding RNA is filed under the name Homo sapiens (human). RNAcentral describes it as "long non-coding RNA NONHSAT034878". Lineage: Eukaryota; Metazoa; Chordata; Mammalia; Primates; Hominidae. The record is from RNAcentral.